This 440-nucleotide ribosomal RNA is filed under the name uncultured bacterium. RNAcentral describes it as "partial 16S ribosomal RNA". It matches the Rfam family "Bacterial small subunit ribosomal RNA", at positions 338 to 795 of the family's 1533-position model. The record is from RNAcentral.
CCUACGGGAGGCAGCAGUGGGGGAUAUUGCACAAUGGGGGGAACCCUGAUGCAGCGACGCCGCGUGGGUGAAGAAGCGCCUCGGCGCGUAAAGCCCUGUCAGCAGGGAAGAAAAUGACGGUACCUGAAGAAGAAGCCCCGGCUAACUACGUGCCAGCAGCCGCGGUAAUACGUAGGGGGCAAGCGUUAUCCGGAUUUACUGGGUGUAAAGGGGGCGCAGACGGCGAUGCAAGCCAGGAGUGAAAGCCCGGGGGCCAACCCCGGGACUGCGCUUGGAACUGCGUGGCUGGAGUGCAGGAGGGGCAGGCGGAAUUGCUGGUGUAGCGGUGAAAUGCGUAGAUAUCAGGAGGAACACCGGUGGCGAAGGCGGCCUGCUGGACUGCAACUGACGUUGAGGCCCGAAAGCGUGGGGAGCAAACAGGAUUAGAUACCCCAGUAGUC